CACCACCCUGUGAGAAUCUCUGUAAUCAUUGAAAGUGAUGCCGUGGUCAGCCUCCCCAGACUUAGCGAUGCCUUCCUGGUAAUCUUUGGACUGAUAUAUGCACUACACCUCAGCUACCCCAAAGCACUGACCAACACUUUUGAAUUCACUGAAAAGAUUUUACUUGGUCUAGAAAGUGGUAAACUGUCACCCAGGUUGCAGACCCUCAAGAAUGACUUGUUGAUGUAAGUGACUGAUGGAGGAGGUGGAGAGGGAGGUGGAGAGGAGGAGGAGAGGAAGGUGGAGAGAGGGAGGUGACUAAUGGAGGAGAGGGAGGAGAAGAGGGAGGUGACUGAUGGAGGAGGUGACUGAUGGAGGAGGAGAGGGAGGUGACUGAUGGAGGAGGUGGAGAGGGAGGAGGAGAGGGAGGUGACUGAUGGAGGAGGUGGAGAGGGAGGAUAAGAGGGAGGUGACUGAUGGAGGAGAGGGAGGUGACUGAUGGAGGAGGUGGAGAGGGAGGAGGAGAGGGAGGUGACUGAUGGAGGAGGUGACUGAUGGAGGAGGAGAGGGAGGUGACUGAUGGAGGAGGUGACUGAUGGAGGAGGAGAGGGAGGUGACUGAUGGAGGAGGUGGAGAGGGAGGAGGAGAGGGAGGUGACUGAUGGAGGAGGUGGAGAGGGAGGAUAAGAGGGAGGUGACUGAUGGAGGAGAGGGAGGUGGAGAGGGAGGUGACUGAUGGAGGAGGUGGAGAGGGAGGAGAAGAGGGAGGUGACUGAUGGAGGAGGUGGAGAGGGAGGUGACUGAUGGAGGAGGUGGAGAGGGAGGUGACUGAUGGAGGAGGUGGAGAUGGAGGUGACUGAUGGAGGAGGUGGAGAAGGAGGUGACUGAUGGCGGAGGUGGAGAGGGAGGUGACUGAUGGCGGAGGUGACUGAUGGAGGAGGAGAGAGGGAGGUGACUGAUGGAGGAGGUGGAGAGGGAGGUGACUGAUGGCAUAGGAGGAGAGAGGGAGGUGACUGAUGGAGGAGGAGAGGGAGGUGACUGAUGGCGGAGGUGGAGAGGGAGGUGACUGAUGGCAUAGGAGGUGACUGAUGGAGGAGGAGAGAGGGAGGUGACUGAUGGAGGAGGUGGAGAGGGAGGUGACUGAUGGCAUAGGAGGAGAGAGGGAGGUGACUGAUGGAGGAGGAGAGGGAGGUGACUGAUGGAGGAGGUGGAGAGGGAGGUGACUGAUGGCAUAGGAGGAGAGAGGGAGGCUUUGAUUUAUUUUGAUUUAUA
This is a long non-coding RNA of Clupea harengus (Atlantic herring), 1250 nucleotides long. Lineage: Eukaryota; Metazoa; Chordata; Actinopteri; Clupeiformes; Clupeidae. The record is from Ensembl.